AAGGGACAGGUGAGUCAUCGAAUCUUUGAACGCACAUUGCGCCCCCUGGCAUUCCGGGGGGCAUGCCUGUCCGAGCGUCAUUGCAACCCCUUCAAGCUCAGCUUGUGUGUUGGGCGCCGUCUUCACUAGAUGCGCCCGAAAGGCAGUGACGGUUCCGGGGUCCGGUGCCCGAGCGUAUGGGGCUUUGUCACCCGCUCUAGAGGCCCGGCCCGGUGACCGGUCUAUAACCAAAUCUUUUCGUGGUUGACCUCGGAUCAGGUAGGGAUACCCGCUGAACUUAAGCAUAUCAAUAAGCGGAGG
Molecule: unclassified non-coding RNA, 300 nt
Filed under: uncultured Eurotiomycetes
Lineage: Eukaryota; Fungi; Ascomycota; Eurotiomycetes
Description: sequence contains 5.8S rRNA gene, ITS2
Rfam family: 5.8S ribosomal RNA (bases 1-80)
Source: RNAcentral